CCCCAUCAAGGGGACAGCAAUGUCCCAUUUUACUUUGAGGAAAUUAGAGUGUUCAAAGCAGGCGAUUGCUUGAAUACUGCAGCAUGGAAUAAUGGAAUAGGACCUCGGUUCUAUUUUGUUGGUUUUGUAGAGCAUUGAGGUAAUGAUUAAUAGGGACAGACGGGGGCAUUCGUAUUGCGGUGUUAGAGGUGAAAUUCUUGGAUCGCCGCAAGACGAACAACUGCGAAAGCAUUUGCCAAGAAUGUUUUCAUUAAUCAAGAACGAAAGUUGGAGGUUCGAAGACGAUUAGAUACCGUCCUAGUUCCAACCAUAAACGAUGCCAACUAGCGAUUAGCUGCUGUUAAUCAAACGACACAGCUAGCAGCUUCCGGGAAACCAAAGUUUUUGGGUUCCGGGGGAAGUAUGGUUGCAAAGCUGAAACUUAAAGGAAUUGACGGAAGGGCACCACCAGGAGUGGAGCCUGCGGCUUAAUUCGACUCAAC
This 482-nucleotide ribosomal RNA is filed under the name Rotifera environmental sample. RNAcentral describes it as "SSU rRNA". It matches the Rfam family "Eukaryotic small subunit ribosomal RNA", at positions 723 to 1204 of the family's 1831-position model. Lineage: Eukaryota; Metazoa; Rotifera. The record is from RNAcentral.